RNAcentral lists this ribosomal RNA (497 nucleotides) under uncultured bacterium. Its description in RNAcentral is "partial 16S ribosomal RNA". It matches the Rfam family "Bacterial small subunit ribosomal RNA", at positions 28 to 507 of the family's 1533-position model. The record is from RNAcentral.
GAUGAACGCUGGCGGCGUGCCUAAUACAUGCAAGUCGAGCGGAAGGACGAGAAGCUUGCUUCUCUGAUGUUAGCGGCGGACGGGUGAGUACCACGUGGGUAACCUACCUAUAAGAAUGGGAUAACUUCGGGAAACAGGAGCUAAUACCGGAUACUGAUUUAAACGGCGGGGUUCAAAAGUGAACGCCGGUCUUGCGGCCGCUUGUAGAUGGGUCCGCGCUGCAUUAGCUAGUUGGUAAGGUAACGGCUUACCAAGGCAACGAUGAGUAGCCGGCCUGAGAGGGUGAUCGGCCACACUGGAACUGAGACACGGCCCAGACUCCUACGGGAGGCAGCAGUAGGGAAUCUUCCGCAAUGGGCGAAAGCCUGACGGAGCAACGCCGCGUGAGUGAUGAAGGUCUUCGGAUCGUAAACCUCUGUUAUUAGGGACGAACAUAUGUGUAAGUAACUGUGCACAUCUUGACGGUACCUAAUCAGAAAGCCACGGCUAACUACGUG